AGUAAAAGUCGUAACAAGGUCUCCGCUGGUGAACCAGCGGAGGGAGCUGGAAGUAAAAGUCGUAACAAGGUUUCCGUAGGUGAACCUGCGGAAGGAUCAUUACCGAGAGUUGUAGGCUUCUGUCUACCAUCUCUUACCCAUGUCUUUUGCGUACUACACGUUUCCUCGGCAGGUCCGCCUGCCGUUAGGACAAUUUAAACCAUUUGCAGUUGCAGUCAGCGUCUGAAAAACUUAAUAAUUACAACUUUUAACAACGGAUCUCUUGGUUCUGGCAUCGAUGAAGAACGCAGCGAAAUGCGAUAAGUAGUGUGAAUUGCAGAAUUCAGUGAAUCAUCGAAUCUUUGAACGCACAUUGCGCCCCUUGGUAUUCCAUGGGGCAUGCCUGUUCGAGCGUCAUUUGUACCUUCAAGCUCUGCUUGGUGUUGGGUGUUUGUCCCGCCUCUGUGCGUGGACUCGCCUUAAAGCAAUUGGCAGCCGACGUAUUGUUUCGGAGCGCAGCACAAAUUGCGCUUUGUAGCUAUUACGACAGCAUCCAUCAAGCCUUUUUUCACGCUUGACCUCGGAUCAGGUAGGGAUACCCGCUGAACUUAAGCAUAUCAAUAAGCGGAGGAA
Molecule: ribosomal RNA, 612 nt
Filed under: fungal sp.
Lineage: Eukaryota; Fungi
Description: eukaryotic LSU rRNA
Rfam family: 5.8S ribosomal RNA (bases 243-396)
Source: RNAcentral